UUCAGAUUGCAGGCUGCAACCCGCCUGCAUGAAGUCGGAAUUGCUAGUAAUCGCGGAUCAGCAUGCCGCGGUGAAUACGUUCCCGGGCCUUGUACACACCGCCCGUCACACCAUGGGAGCCGGUAAUACCCGAAGUCAGUAGUCCAACCACGUGAGGACGCUGCCGAAGGUAGGAUUGGCGACUGGGGUGAAGUCGUAACAAGGUAUC
This 208-nucleotide ribosomal RNA is filed under the name uncultured bacterium. Its description in RNAcentral is "partial 16S ribosomal RNA". It matches the Rfam family "Bacterial small subunit ribosomal RNA", at positions 1292 to 1500 of the family's 1533-position model. The record is from RNAcentral.